Non-coding RNA from Bactrocera oleae (olive fruit fly), 489 nucleotides. Lineage: Eukaryota; Metazoa; Arthropoda; Insecta; Diptera; Tephritidae. The record is from RefSeq and is a predicted model, not a curated record.
AUUUCUAUAAACAAAAUUAAAUGUUGAGAUUCAUAUUGACACGAAUGCAAAGCAUUGAACGUCAGCAACAUUGUAGCUAUGACUAUUUCGUUGUGGAAAUUCGCUAACAGCCAGUUAUCGCUCAUUUCAAUGAAAUUGAGGAUCAAAAGAAAGUUUGUGUUUGUCGUAGCCCUCCAAUCGCACAGAAGACUCAAUAGCAAAUGGCAAAAAUUAACACUAGUUUGCAAUACUUUGGACUUGAACGGAAUACUUUCGAAAUAUGAUGAAAUACAUUAGAAAAAUUAGAUAUGCUUAUAUGUAUAUACAUAUGUAUCUACAUAUGUAUGUAUAUGUAGGUACUCAAUAUGAAAGUGUGUGAGAGUAAGGAACAACUGGGCUGAAUAAACGUUAUAAUAUGAUAUUAACCAUUUCACAGCUGCUGUCAUAUAUAGGCUUCAACAACAAUUAAACGCAACAACAAUCGUUGUAGCGAAAAAAAAACGAUUCUUA